RNAcentral lists this transfer RNA (76 nucleotides) under Pseudomonas aeruginosa. RNAcentral describes it as "tRNA-Val (TAC) (tRNA-Val-TAC-1-1, tRNA-Val-TAC-1-2)". It matches the Rfam family "tRNA". From Rfam's summary of the family: Transfer RNA (tRNA) molecules are approximately 80 nucleotides in length. Their secondary structure includes four short double-helical elements and three loops (D, anti-codon, and T loops). Further hydrogen bonds mediate the characteristic L-shaped molecular structure. tRNAs have two regions of fundamental functional importance: the anti-codon, which is responsible for specific mRNA codon recognition, and the 3' end, to which the tRNAs corresponding amino acid is attached (by aminoacyl-tRNA synthetases). tRNAs cope with the degeneracy of the genetic code in two manners: having more than one tRNA (with a specific anti-codon) for a particular amino acid; and 'wobble' base-pairing, i.e. permitting non-standard base-pairing at the 3rd anti-codon position. RNAcentral also lists the same sequence under 1435 other names. Lineage: Bacteria; Pseudomonadati; Pseudomonadota; Gammaproteobacteria; Pseudomonadales; Pseudomonadaceae. The record is from RNAcentral.
GGGUGAUUAGCUCAGCUGGGAGAGCAUCUGCCUUACAAGCAGAGGGUCGGCGGUUCGAUCCCGUCAUCACCCACCA